UACGUAGGGUGCGAGCGUUGUCCGGAAUUACUGGGCGUAAAGAGCUCGUAGGUGGUUUGUCACGUCGUCUGUGAAAUUCCGGGGCUUAACCUCGGGCGUGCAGGCGAUACGGGCAAUACUUGAGUGCUGUAGGGGAUACUGGAAUUCCUGGUGUAGCGGUGAAAUGCGCAGAUAUCAGGAGGAACACCGAUGGCGAAGGCAGGUCUCUGGGCAGUAACUGACGCUGAGGAGCGAAAGCAUGGGUAGCGAACAGGAUUAGA
This 260-nucleotide ribosomal RNA is filed under the name uncultured prokaryote. RNAcentral's name for it is "partial 16S ribosomal RNA". It matches the Rfam family "Bacterial small subunit ribosomal RNA", at positions 524 to 782 of the family's 1533-position model. The record is from RNAcentral.